RNAcentral lists this ribosomal RNA (540 nucleotides) under uncultured marine bacterium. RNAcentral describes it as "bacterial SSU rRNA". It matches the Rfam family "Bacterial small subunit ribosomal RNA", at positions 400 to 957 of the family's 1533-position model. The record is from RNAcentral.
CGUGAGUGAAGAAGGCCUUAGGGUCGUAAAAUUCUUUUGCCAGAGAUGAUAAUGACCGUAUUCUGGUAAAGAAACCCCGGCUAACUCCGUGCCAGCAGCCGCGGUAAUACGGAGGGGGUUAGCGUUGUUGGAAAUUACUGGGCGUAAAGCGCACGUAGGCGGACUGGAAAGUUGGGGGUGAAAUCCCGGGGCUCAACCUCGGAACUGCCUCCAAAACUAUCAGUCUAGAGUUCGAGAGAGGUGAGUGGAAUUCCAAGUGUAGAGGUGAAAUUCGUAGAUAUUUGGAGGAACACCAGUGGCGAAGGCGGCUCACUGGCUCGAUACUGACGCUGAGGUGCGAAAGUGUGGGGAGCAAACAGGAUUAGAUACCCUGGUAGUCCACACCGUAAACGAUGAAUGCCAGUCGUCGGCAAGUAUACUUGUCGGUGACACACCUAACGGAUUAAGCAUUCCGCCUGGGGAGUACGGUCGCAAGAUUAAAACUCAAAGGAAUUGACGGGGGCCCGCACAAGCGGUGGAGCAUGUGGUUUAAUUCGAAGC